Panus rudis PR-1116 ss-1 is the source of this 85-nucleotide non-coding RNA. Lineage: Eukaryota; Fungi; Basidiomycota; Agaricomycetes; Polyporales; Panaceae. The record is from the annotation of a GenBank genome assembly.
GGCGAGAUGGCCGAGCGGUCUAAGGCGCCAGACUAAGGUUGUUAUCUGGUCCGAAAGGGCGUGGGUUCGAAUCCCACUCUCGUCA